UAAAUAUUUGAACAAUUUUAA
Non-coding RNA from Caenorhabditis elegans, 21 nucleotides. The record is from Ensembl. Lineage: Eukaryota; Metazoa; Nematoda; Chromadorea; Rhabditida; Rhabditidae.